Molecule: long non-coding RNA, 449 nt
Organism: Neltuma alba
Lineage: Eukaryota; Viridiplantae; Streptophyta; Magnoliopsida; Fabales; Fabaceae
Exons: 3
Source: RefSeq, a predicted model, not a curated record
UAUUAAUCCAGCAGUUGCUGAGAUUGCUAAAAAAAUUGAGGUACUUGAAGAGCAAAGCAGUGAAGGUUCAUUUAGUCCGAGUGGAAGGAUGGACAUUUUAGUGACAGCGAUUGGGAAGCCUGAUCACCCCGGACGCGUUAGAGGAGAAGGGAGGACAGUUGGUCUUACCCAAUAUUUUGGACAAACUUCACGAGCUUCUCUACGAAGUCAACCCACUGAUGAGAUGAUAGCUAAACUUCGAGACCAAGUUCGUGAUGAGCUCCAAUCUGAGCUAGAGGUCAAGAUUGAGGCCCAGUUACGCCAGUCACUUCGAAAAGAGCUUAUGGCUGAGCUUCGUGAUGAGAUGAAAUCUAUGGUCUCUAGCAUGCAAAUUGGGACAGUUCAACAACAAUGCACAUCCUAGGAUUCCCCCGUCUUUCCUAGCACUAAAAACAGUUGUAAUCCACCGG